This 67-nucleotide transfer RNA is filed under the name Marmota marmota marmota (Alpine marmot). It matches the Rfam family "tRNA". Rfam says of the family: Transfer RNA (tRNA) molecules are approximately 80 nucleotides in length. Their secondary structure includes four short double-helical elements and three loops (D, anti-codon, and T loops). Lineage: Eukaryota; Metazoa; Chordata; Mammalia; Rodentia; Sciuridae. The record is from Rfam by way of RNAcentral. RNAcentral also lists the same sequence under 3 other names.
GGUUGUUGCUCAGUGGUAGAGCACUCACCUAGCAUAUGAAAAGCCCUGGGUUCAAUCCUCAGCACCA